Long non-coding RNA from Triticum urartu, 3495 nucleotides. RefSeq lists it as uncharacterized. Lineage: Eukaryota; Viridiplantae; Streptophyta; Magnoliopsida; Poales; Poaceae. The record is from RefSeq and is a predicted model, not a curated record.
UGAAAAUUGUUGGCGCUGAAAUGAGCCCAGCCCACGAAACAAAGCCACCUCCCCUUUUCCCCUUCUUCCCCCAAAUCCCUCAGAUCUGGAAUCCAGUUUCUACAUCCGUCGCCGCCGCCCAUGGUCGGGCUCUCUCUCCGCCGCACGCGCUGCUCCCCGCAGCCGGCCAGGUGCUCUCCAGCCGAUGAGACCGCCGCAGCCUCUCUCCCCCCACCGGCCUGUCCACCGCCGACCCCACUCCACACAGCCGCCGGUGGAACCCUACUCCAUACUGCCGCCGCCUCCACUGGCAGGAGCUUUCUCCGCUGCCCCCUCCGUCUGCAGGUAUUCUCCCCUCCUAUCUGUUUGCCCUUCCCUUCACCGCCGCUCACCGCACUGCCCUACACGCACAUAUGGUCUUGCCGUUGCCGUCCAAACCCUACCGGCGGUUGCCCUUUUUGUCCGUGCCCAAGCUUAUCUAUCUCCUGGAGGUGCCGCCGGCAAGAAGGUAAUGCUCCAAGAUGCCUCUUCCAAGAUGACGGUGGGUCUUUAGCACCUCUGGUGUUUUUUCGGAGUGAGACAACGAUUUCUCUUCUGAAGAAUUGUUUUUUCCUUUCACAUGUGCAUGCUUAUGUUAUUUGCGGAUGUUGAAAGCUAAUUUACACGUACUAUGUGCUUUGAGAAGAGAACUGCGUAAUUGUUAUGCAUGAGCACACCUUCUGCAUAGUGGUCAAUUUGGUUGACCUUGAUUGUCAAAAGAAAUUUGCUUAGUGGAUUGUCAUAAGUAACUUGUGUAGUGCUGAAACUUGGAACAUAGAACUUAGCUAUAAAUCUUAACUAUGAUGGUACUUUGGGGAAAAUUGCACAUUGUUACUGAUUUUAAUGACUUAUUUAUUGCUCUGAACCUUGGUUUGUCACCAUAGUUUAGACUCUUGAGUGUUGUUCUGGCUUUGAAAAGUGGGAUCCUAGAGAGGCUAGUCUGUGCAAUAUAUGAAAAUGCUAAUGAUGCCCUGUGAGAAGUUGAGAUCAUGUACAAGAACAAUAAUUAUGUGUGUAGCAAUGAUACAUUCGGAGGCAAAGCAAGACUUGAGAUUCUGGUUCAGUUUCACCUCUUGCCUCUGCACAUAAAUUAAGAUACAAAUUGAGCACAGCACCUUUAGUUCCUAGUUGUCAUCAUAAAAGUACUGAACCUGACAUCUACAAAAUAUAUUCCUUGCAUAAUCUCUUGCUUUUUCUUGAUGAGCACUAACCAGGAAUACCACUGACCAGCGGGAUUCGAACGAUGUGUGGAUUUCCAAAAAGGUAUUUUCUUAUAGUGAUAUAUACCGUUUGAUAUUGAUUUCAUGAAUUCCUGCUAACUUUGUUGUUUUCUAUGAAGUUCAGCUCCCGCAACACCUAUUUCGUUUCCUGUGAUCCACUUGUGAGGCAUAGAAAGGGUUCAAUUUUAUAUAGUUUAUGAGAUGAAAGGGGAAGGGACUGUUAGUUAAGAACAAUUGUAUAUUAAAUGACAGUUAAACAUUUGGAUUUAAGCAAUAGAUCAACAGAGCAUUUUUCUGCAGUUUAAUAACGCUAUAAGAUAAAGAUUCUUCUAAAUGGUUGAAAUUAAUUUUUACUUGAAUGAUGUGCUAAAAUCAACCUCUAUACACCCAGGCACCAUUUUUCUACAGAAUAUAUAUGAUGCUUGCUCCGUGAAUGACUAUCUUGUUGCACGCAUGUCUCCGAAUAAAAUGCAAGGGGUUAGAAACACAUGCAGCACUUCGUAAAUGGUUCCUUAUUCCUGAUCUUUUUAUUGCGCACAGAUCUUACAACUUUUUGGUGCACUACUAUUAGAGGUCUGACCUACAGAAGUCUCCACGGUAAAUAAAGUCUGCCGCCUACCUCGCAGCCUGCUCCUUUCAUAGGAAUCAUUGUGUUGUCUUCAUACUUAACAGGUUUUGUGCUAGCCGUGAAAUGUUUUUGGCCACAUAACUUAUUCAACUAGGUACCUCCGCUGCUCUGUGACCACGAGAAGCUCCAUGCCUUGGUGAGGUCGGUCCCUAUUUUUAGGACUAGAUUCUCUCUUACCUAUGCCUACAAGGUGUUUGAUGAAAAUCCAAGCAAGCUGCAAAGAAUAUUCAUCUAUGUAAUAUCUAAGUUCUGUUGUCUCUGCUUAAUAACUUUUGUCUGAAAUUUAGUUGCAUUCAAUGAUUACUUCCUCUCAUGCCAAUGCGGCAAUAUCUCUCAUCUGAAUUCUCAUUUGUCUUUGCCAGUUACAUAGUGCCUUACGCGCUACCUAGAUAUUGGAGUAGCAUAUUAUCUGCGAAAAUGCUUUUCUUUUUUACAGUCAUUUGUAUGCCACAUCUGGUAGCAUUGGUCCUUUCUAAAGGCCAAUAUGAAAGGGCAACUUAUAUAUGUCAAAUCGCAUGGGUACUUUACUUGGUACUUUCAGGUUUUGAUAUUACUCUAUCACUAGAAUUUCCUUUCGAACAUUGCAAUUAGCUUUUAUCAUAGCAUUGUAAGUAUUGAGAAAUUUGUUCAUCAUACCUCCUAGGUAAACUGGAAGUAUUGUACUAGUCAGCAGGAACCGUGUUCCAAUUGCAUCCUGGGGAUUUUCAUCCUUGUUCUAGCUUCAUUUAAUAAUGUUUGAUGUUGCAGAUAUAGAAUAAUGUUUACGCUUACCUCACCAUAUACCAAUUUGGUUGUUUACUAAUGUUGCAUCUGUAACAUGUCCUAUUUUUCCAUAGUUUGUUUGUUAUGGGAAAUUGGUGAUGAUCUGGUAAGGAAAGAAAUCUUCAAGUCUCGGGUUUUUCUACAACCAUUCCCCCAUGGUGGUAACCUCUCCCAGCGAAUCAUAAUGUAAACUGACUCGGAUCAGGUGUAAAUUUAUUCUUUUUUCUGCUGUAAAAAAAAACUUUCCACUGAGUACACUAAAGUGCAGCAUCCAAUAAACAGACUUAAUGAUAUUCUAUUUGAAUAAUUAAUAUAUCAUGUUCUUGGACUUCUGUCAUGAGUGCCCUAUAGAUGUGCACCAUGCCAUAAGUACAAGCAGCAUGCGUACGUGCAUGGAGUCAUUUAACGCGAGGAAUAGGAGAGAAAAAAGCAGGUCCGCAAUGAAAAGCGGCAUGGCAAGGCAUGCGUGUACUUCUAGUGGUUACCUAUACUUGAAUGGAGUGCCUUCUUGUGUAGGUGUUUCGGUACUAGCUUACCUUGUGAAGUAAUAAUUUUCGUCAAUGCUAUGCUUUAUACAAGUUUUAUGCUGCCAUUGUCUUAUUUUGCAGGAAAGGCAUGCAAGAGGGCAAGGAACCAUGAAGCUGGUGGUCCGGGAUCCUUUGUUUAAUGGUGACUGAAUCGUUGGAGAUGCAUUUUACCAUCAUUUUGUAAACCCGCAUUGUGUUUGAGACAAUGAACCAUAUGUUUUCUCUUUAAUUAGUUACAUUAGUUUAUGGGAAAAUUUUGAUGGUCGUUAUGUUAAUAAUGAAUGAACUAUUUAUAUGUGAAAUUAGUUAAUAUUUGUUUUUAUUGUCUGGUUAUGGUUCA